RNAcentral lists this unclassified non-coding RNA (204 nucleotides) under soil metagenome. Its description in RNAcentral is "partial contains 5.8S ribosomal RNA, internal transcribed spacer 2, and large subunit ribosomal RNA". The record is from RNAcentral.
AACGAGGCCGACCUGCGGCUGAGUUACCUGCGGAGGGAUCAUUACCUAGAGUUGUAGGCUUUGCCUGCUAUCUCUUACCCAUGUCUUUUGAGUACCUUACGUUUCCUCGGUGGGCUCGCCCACCGAUUGGACAAACUUAAACCCUUUGCAGUUGAAAUCAGCGUCUGAAAAAACUUAAUAGUUACAACUUUCAGCAAUGGAUCU